Molecule: RNA transcript, 790 nt
Organism: Zootermopsis nevadensis
Lineage: Eukaryota; Metazoa; Arthropoda; Insecta; Blattodea; Termopsidae
Gene name: eukaryotic translation initiation factor 4 gamma 1-like
Source: RefSeq, a predicted model, not a curated record
GUUAACCAACAUUUCGGCAAACAAAGCAGUUGCCUCUUCGAGGUGGACCAUGUGGUACAUAGGUUACAAGAGUAGUUUUGUUUGGGAGGUGGUAUCUUUUCGACUGUUACACAUUGUGAUGUUUAUUAAACACAAAGGAAUUGUAGGGAAGGUUCCGAAGUGAUCUUCAUUGUGCGAAAACAUUUAGUUGGUAUUAAAAUUUGAACAACUUUUUUGUUUUUAACGCUCUGACGUUAAACCCCGCCUCGAUUGUUAUGCACUUUAUAUUUGUUUGAGAAAUAGUAUUGUGUUUUAUAGUGUUAUUUCAUGUAACCCUUUUUAUGUAACAGGCACACAUCUAAAUAAGUUGUGUGUCAAAUGACAGAAUGUCUAUGUGAGGGGCCCAUGAAGACUGGGGUGGCUGCCCCAUCCUAAGAACGGUACUGGACACACAUAAACAUACACCAAUAUUUUCAGAACCCCCCCAAGACAGGGUCUAGGAAACUCCCACACCCAGCAGCAAACCAGAGACUUUGUCAACAUUCGGGCUUUCAAGCGGAAUUUCUCAUUUCAGUAUCUCCUAGAGCAGCGUUUCUCAACUUGUGUUCGCUGUUACUAGCGGCACCGAAACUGACUCGCCCGUGACUCACGCGCACAAGUCCCGCCGACGUCAACAGAGCGCCGGCCGACCACGUAAUGCAAGCACUACCGCAGCCUCAUAAAUUGUAGACCCGGUAUUAUAAACCUGUAAGUAUUGUUAGCUCUGUACAUUAUUACUGUUCAUGAAUACAACUGGAACCAUCAAAUGUGA